RNAcentral lists this transfer RNA (57 nucleotides) under Zea mays. It matches the Rfam family "tRNA", at positions 8 to 63 of the family's 71-position model. From Rfam's summary of the family: Transfer RNA (tRNA) molecules are approximately 80 nucleotides in length. Their secondary structure includes four short double-helical elements and three loops (D, anti-codon, and T loops). Lineage: Eukaryota; Viridiplantae; Streptophyta; Magnoliopsida; Poales; Poaceae. The record is from Rfam by way of RNAcentral.
UAGCUCAGUUGGUAGAGCACAAGGCUUUUAAUCUUGUGGUCAUGGGUUCAACCCCAC